UUUGGGUGAGGUAAUGGAUAUGACAAGAAGGAGGACGCAUAGACAGCCGUUACUAAACCGGGUGGAAGAGGAAAUAGAGAAACAUAAGCAAAACCGGAUUCAUGGUGAAUAUGAUGUUGCGUUAUGGAAGGGGAAGAA
Molecule: small RNA, 138 nt
Filed under: Arabidopsis thaliana (thale cress)
Lineage: Eukaryota; Viridiplantae; Streptophyta; Magnoliopsida; Brassicales; Brassicaceae
Description: ATSL172680
Source: RNAcentral